This 323-nucleotide unclassified non-coding RNA is filed under the name Hevea brasiliensis (rubber tree). Lineage: Eukaryota; Viridiplantae; Streptophyta; Magnoliopsida; Malpighiales; Euphorbiaceae. The record is from RNAcentral.
GUCCUCGCUUUCUGUUUCAAGCCCUCCUGACUCACCGGUUCAUCUAUCACAUGACGACCUGGAUGAAUCUGAAGAUUCUCUAGCAUUAUCAGGCAGUGAAGGUAAAAAUGUUUCCUUAUUGGAACAAGGGAAUGAAUCUACAGCCUUACCUAUUGAAGCUGGGAAUGAUCAUAUGAUGAGUGGCUCAAGUGUUGUCUCUACUGGUGAUGAUGGAGAAUGGACCAUUCAGAACGAUCAACAGUUGCAGGAGCAAGAAGAAUAUGAUGAGGAUGAGGAUGGUUAUGAUGAAGAAGAUGAAGUUCAUGAUGGAGAAGAUGAGAAUA